RNAcentral lists this ribosomal RNA (410 nucleotides) under uncultured Haemophilus sp. RNAcentral's name for it is "bacterial SSU rRNA". It matches the Rfam family "Bacterial small subunit ribosomal RNA", at positions 505 to 916 of the family's 1533-position model. The record is from RNAcentral. Lineage: Bacteria; Pseudomonadati; Pseudomonadota; Gammaproteobacteria; Pasteurellales; Pasteurellaceae.
GUGCCAGCCGCCGCGGUAAUACGGAGGGUGCGAGCGUUAAUCGGAAUAACUGGGCGUAAAGGGCACGCAGGCGGUUAUUUAAGUGAGGUGUGAAAGCCCCGGGCUUAACCUGGGAAUUGCAUUUCAGACUGGGUAACUAGAGUACUUUAGGGAGGGGUAGAAUUCCACGUGUAGCGGUGAAAUGCGUAGAGAUGUGGAGGAAUACCGAAGGCGAAGGCAGCCCCUUGGGAAUGUACUGACGCUCAUGUGCGAAAGCGUGGGGAGCAAACAGGAUUAGAUACCCUGGUAGUCCACGCUGUAAACGCUGUCGAUUUGGGGAUUGAGCUUUAAGCUUGGUGCCCGUAGCUAACGUGAUAAAUCGACCGCCUGGGGAGUACGGCCGCAAGGUUAAAACUCAAAGGAAUUGGCGG